Molecule: long non-coding RNA, 250 nt
Filed under: Phoenix dactylifera (date palm)
Lineage: Eukaryota; Viridiplantae; Streptophyta; Magnoliopsida; Arecales; Arecaceae
Description: long non-coding RNA (PDAC_LNC009371)
Source: RNAcentral
GUGAACCAAUUUGGAUCCAAUCUAGAUAAGUCCUAAUCUAAUUAGAACUUAAAUCAAUUUUGACUCAAUUGAACUCUUCAAUCCUAAUCCAAUUAGGAGUCUUAUUGAUUCAUUAGAUUAAUAAUUAAUUGUGACUUAAGAAACCCUAAUCCAAAUUAGGACAUAUAUAAUUUUAGUCCUAAUUCAAUUAGGACUCUAUUUGAAUCCGAAGUCCUAAUCCGAUUAGGACUCUAGGAAUCCUACUCCAAGU